UACGGAGGGGGCAAGCGUUAUUCGGAAUUAUUGGGCGUAAAGGGCGCGUAGGCGGCUAGAUGUGUCAGAGGUGAAAUCCCUCGGCUCAACUGAGGAACUGCCUUUGAAACUGUCUGGCUUGAGGCCGGGAGAGGGUAGCGGAAUUCCCAGUGUAGCGGUGAAAUGCGUAGAUAUCUGGAGGAACACCGGUGGCGAAGGCGGCAUCCUGGACCGGCAUUGACGCUGAGGCGCGAAAGCCAGGGGAGCAAACGGG
RNAcentral lists this ribosomal RNA (253 nucleotides) under uncultured bacterium. RNAcentral describes it as "partial 16S ribosomal RNA". It matches the Rfam family "Bacterial small subunit ribosomal RNA", at positions 524 to 776 of the family's 1533-position model. The record is from RNAcentral.